Molecule: ribosomal RNA, 253 nt
Filed under: uncultured bacterium
Lineage: Bacteria
Description: partial 16S ribosomal RNA
Rfam family: Bacterial small subunit ribosomal RNA
Source: RNAcentral
UACGGAGGGGGCUAGCGUUGUUCGGAAUUACUGGGCGUAAAGCGCGCGUAGGCGGCUUUGUAAGUUAGAGGUGAAAGCCCGGAGCUCAACUCCGGAAUUGCCUUUAAGACUGCAUCGCUAGAAUCAUGGAGAGGUGAGUGGAAUUCCGAGUGUAGAGGUGAAAUUCGUAGAUAUUCGGAAGAACACCAGAAGCGAAGGCGGCCAACUGGCCCGAUACUGACGCUGAGGCGCGAAAGCGUGGGGAGCAAACAGG